AAGUAGUGCAGUCGGACUAUUAGCAUGCACCAGAUAUGCUGUUUGUCUGUUUGCUAACAUUCUUCAUUCAAGACUUGUUAACUGCCAGACGAGCUUAACACGCUUCUCUCUGUCUCUUUCUCCCUCCCUGCUUCUCUGUCUUUCUUCGCCUUUCAUGCCAGCCCCUCGCAGCCUUCUGUCGUUGCUGGGUGCUGGUAGCCAAGGGGUAGUGGUGGCAGGAGGAACGCACGCUGCCGAGAAUCUGAAGCUAGUUGCUAGGAGCGAGGCUGCAAGGUGAACACAUUCGGGCAUCUGCCCCCUUUUUUCCACUGUGGCCCGGGAAAAGAGCUUCAGCAUCGACACAUGGACUCCAUGGGUAAAGAGCUGUCAGACACACGAGGCUGCAGCAGAAUGUGCAGGCCAGAACAGCACACCGUAGCAGUAUUUCUAUCCACUGUGGACGAAAUCUGGAAUAUCGGGAACAACAUCAAUGAACCCGAAAAAAGCAAACCGCAUUCCAGACGAAUAUAAGGAGAACUAAGAUGACUGGGGGGGAUUUCCAGAUAUCUCAGCGCUGACCUUACAUGACAUAUAAGAAGGUACAUGUGGUUUCCUUCCUUCCUUUUAUACUAGUUUCUGUUUAACUAUACAUAGUAAUGUUCACGUGUCCCUAUUGUUACAAAAGAGAUUUAAAAAAAAACAUGAUCCCAUGAUGACAGCUGCAGAUGUAGGUUAGAUGUAGCAGAGACCAAAUUUUGUGCAUUUAUAUCCCCCCGUCCUCCCUGCCUUUUCUGCCUACAUUAUUCUGUCCACACGUUCCAUAUUGCUCUGUACGAUGAGAUGUCUCCUUACUUCUGCUCCCUCUUCCCUCUCACAGCAUGCUGUCUCACACACAGUAGAAACUGCAGCAGCAUCUCCCUCCUCCCUGUCUACUAUCUACUGCGCUAUACUUGACGAAUUAUUGAUGCAGAUGAGCAAAUCGAUUCUAAAAAACAAAAUACAAAUUAUUUAACAUUCUUUUCAGGCAUAUACCAACAGGAGCAGGGACUCCUGUCUUUGACAGGAGCCUCUGCACCUCUACGCAUAUGCCUGAAAUGAACACUGAGAAGC
Molecule: long non-coding RNA, 1089 nt
Organism: Hyla sarda
Lineage: Eukaryota; Metazoa; Chordata; Amphibia; Anura; Hylidae
Exons: 5
Source: RefSeq, a predicted model, not a curated record